RNAcentral lists this ribosomal RNA (425 nucleotides) under uncultured bacterium. RNAcentral's name for it is "partial 16S ribosomal RNA". It matches the Rfam family "Bacterial small subunit ribosomal RNA", at positions 354 to 796 of the family's 1533-position model. The record is from RNAcentral.
GUGGGGAAUAUUGGGCAAUGGGCGGAAGCCUGACGCAGCCAUGCCGCGUGAAUGAUGAAGGUCUUAGGAUUGUAAAAUUCUUUCACCGGGGACGAUAAUGACGGUACCCGGAGAAGAAGCUCCGGCUAACUUCGUGCCAGCAGCCGCGGUAAUACGAAGGGGGCUAGCGUUGCUCGGAAUUACUGGGCGUAAAGGGCGCGUAGGCGGACAGCUUAGUCAGAGGUGAAAGCCCAGGGCUCAACCUUGGAAUUGCCUUUGAUACUGGCUGUCUUGAGUUUGGGAGAGGUGAGUGGAACUCCGAGUGUAGAGGUGAAAUUCGUAGAUAUUCGGAAGAACACCAGUGGCGAAGGCGACUCACUGGCCCAAUACUGACGCUGAGGCGCGAAAGCGUGGGGAGCAAACAGGAUUAGAAACCCUGGUAGUCC